RNAcentral lists this ribosomal RNA (584 nucleotides) under Bacillus velezensis. RNAcentral's name for it is "bacterial SSU rRNA". It matches the Rfam family "Bacterial small subunit ribosomal RNA", at positions 173 to 747 of the family's 1533-position model. Lineage: Bacteria; Bacillati; Bacillota; Bacilli; Caryophanales; Bacillaceae. The record is from RNAcentral.
UUGUUUGAACCGCAUGGUUCAGACAUAAAAGGUGGCUUCGGCUACCACUUACAGAUGGACCCGCGGCGCAUUAGCUAGUUGGUGAGGUAACGGCUCACCAAGGCGACGAUGCGUAGCCGACCUGAGAGGGUGAUCGGCCACACUGGGACUGAGACACGGCCCAGACUCCUACGGGAGGCAGCAGUAGGGAAUCUUCCGCAAUGGACGAAAGUCUGACGGAGCAACGCCGCGUGAGUGAUGAAGGUUUUCGGAUCGUAAAGCUCUGUUGUUAGGGAAGAACAAGUGCCGUUCAAAUAGGGCGGCACCUUGACGGUACCUAACCAGAAAGCCACGGCUAACUACGUGCCAGCAGCCGCGGUAAUACGUAGGUGGCAAGCGUUGUCCGGAAUUAUUGGGCGUAAAGGGCUCGCAGGCGGUUUCUUAAGUCUGAUGUGAAAGCCCCCGGCUCAACCGGGGAGGGUCAUUGGAAACUGGGGAACUUGAGUGCAGAAGAGGAGAGUGGAAUUCCACGUGUAGCGGUGAAAUGCGUAGAGAUGUGGAGGAACACCAGUGGCGAAGCGACUCUCUGGUCUGUAACUGACGCU